Molecule: long non-coding RNA, 5880 nt
Filed under: Triticum aestivum (bread wheat)
Lineage: Eukaryota; Viridiplantae; Streptophyta; Magnoliopsida; Poales; Poaceae
Description: long non-coding RNA (TAES_LNC025178)
Source: RNAcentral
UUUUUUUUUUUUUGCAUUGAACUAUCGCAAUGCCCAUGGAGGCGGUUUUUCCUCUUGGGCGCUAAAGCUCGCCGUUUCUUUCUUUUCAGUUGACAGAGCACGAUGCCGGACAGGAGCGGCGCGACCCUGUUUGAGGACCUGCCUGCGGAGAUGAUCGACAAGAUACUCACUCAGUUGCCGUCCAAGGAUCUCGGCGGCUGUCGUGCCGUCAGCACGUCGUUGCACAGUGCCACCUCCACGUCUGAAUUCAUGCUCGAACACCACCGCUGCCAGCCGUCACGUCCCAUCAUCGACGGAAGACCACGGCCCAGCGGCCUUGUCGUCUUCCGUGACGCUGGCGCCCCUCAACAGCUCUGGACCUUCGUCUGGGACCCCGAAAUCUCUUCGAAGGAACUCCUCCACGGUGCCUGUGAUGGCUUCCUCAUCGUCUCCCGAGGACUCCGAUUUUACAUCUGCAACCCAGCCAUCAGCAAGCAUGUUCCCCUACCGCUUCCUCAGGUUGGACCAGAGAACUACAACUCUGUGAUCGGUUUCUACCGGCACGAUCCCACUGGAGAGUACAGGGUGCUCUGGGUCUCGCACUCACAGCCAGGGUCACAAUCUAAACCCAGUUUAUACAUCAUUACAGUGGGAUCCAACAAGCCAAGGCAGGUCAGAGUGAGAAUGCCAGCAGUUUUGCCACCUUCCGCGGAACAGAAAUUACUAAAUGAUCUGUGCUCUUGGUCCUAUUAUGCACCAUCAGUCCACCAUUGUGGCGGCCUGCACUGGUGUCCUUAUGGCGCCAGCGACAUUUGGGCCUGCGGUGCAGACAUUAUUGUGUUUGACACACAAGCCGAGACAUUCCGGUGCAUCCGCAGUCCCGCCCAGUCGUGCCCUAAUAGGAAGUUGUUCCACAUGGAGGGGACCCUUGCUUUAUGGGGCGCCAGCUCGACACGUAGUUUUACCAUUAUGGAUGUCUGGGUGAUGCAGGAUUACAAGGCUCAAAUAUGGGUUUUCAAGUACCGGAUUGACCUAUCAAUGGUGGAGGCAUCACGGCAGCUCUAUUUAACUACUUUGAAAAAGAAAAAGAUAAGGCAAACACCACUUGAUUCAACGGUUGAAGAGUUCAAUGAUAUGGCUGUGCUCAACGAGCGUGAGCUGCUGAUCAAGUUUAAUAAGAAACAUGUGCUACACUGGGACAUUGAUGGCAAGUUCCUAGGUAUUGUGAACAUUGGAAAGAGUCAAUAUUGUAUGGCGCUUACUCAGUGCCGCCUCCAAGAGAGCGUUAUUCCAAUUCCGUCCCACGGGAUGCAAGGAGAAGAUGAGGAACCUCCAUUCUCCACAGAGCAUGUCUGAAUGUUCAAGACUCUUGUUUGCUUUGCCCUUUGGAUUCAGAGGGUGUCUUCUGUUUCUGCUAGUACUACCAGUAGAAUAUGUCAGUUUGGAUGGUCGCCAUAGCUCUUACUUAUAAUGAUGUGUUGAACGUCUUGUUAAUGUUCUGAAAUAUGGGGUAUUGAUCUAUGAUAUUAAAACUUUAUUAUUGUUCCUCUCCGCCUCUCAAAUUUACUCUAUUUUUGGGAUGGUUCAGAUGCACUCCUUGGGCCAUGCUCUUUGAGCGAAGAAAUUUUUAGCUGUUGAAAUGUUAUUCUGUGUCUCUUCCAUUGGCUGUUGAGAAGAGAUCAUUGUUCCAAUUCUUUGUCAUGAGAUUCAAGAAGAAGACGAGGGAGUCUUCCUUCUCGACAUGGUAUGUCUGAAUGGUCAAGACUCUUGGUCCGGCAUGCCUUUGGAUUGACAACAUAUCUUUUGUUCUCAGCUCUUCUUACUUAUUAGUACUACCACAUGAACAUUUUAUUUUGGAUGGUUACGCUCACACCUGGGAUCUCAUCAUUUGGUGCUUGCUUAUUAUCAUGUAUUGGUCAUCUUGUUAAUGUUCUGAACUGUGGAGUACCAACCUAUGACAUUAGAACUUUGUUAAUGUUCCUCCUCGCCUCCGAAAGUUCACUUUAAUUUCAGCAUGCUUACGAUGCACGAAUGGUCUUCAAGCAAAGGCAUUUCAAAUUUUUGAAAUGUUAUUCUGGUGUCUUCCAUAGGCUGUUUCUUCAGUCUCUGCUUCCUGGUGUGUAAUUUGGUCGUAACUUGUAAGUUUCACUAGGCGGCACCUACUCUUUGUGUGAAACAUACUGCGUCGGGUAUACUUUUUGUGGCUGCUUGUAGUGGGUUUUAGGUAUUUUGGUUAUAAACGAGUUGAACUAUGUGCUCUCCUGGAGCAAGGUAAAUUUGACUUUCAGCUCCCAUUGUUAAGAAGCAAGAAUGUACUCUAACUGUUCUGAUGAGAGAUUCGUUCUUGCUUGUGUUAUUUUUUGAGUGAAUGCCAGAGUGUCUGACAGUGACAUAGUCUGGCAUUUCAUUAGAUGUUAGUUAUUGUGUUUCUAGUUCUUAAAAUUGCCUGUUUGCUCCUGCUUCAUGCACAAGAGAAGCGUGGCGCAGAUGUCGUCGACGUGCACUAGCGGCACCGAUCCCAGGAUCCUCGGCAGCGAGAAGUAGGGAUCUUUCUUGGUCACCGGCGCCACCGCGCUCUCCACUGUCUCUCAGACCUGGCCGAGGACCGUGUCACCCGCGACGAGGCUGCAGGGCAGCGUGACCACCUCGAACGCAGGGCUCUCGCCGUCGUUGUAGCGCAGAAGCUCCUUCUCUGACAGGAGCUUUGCCUCUAUGUGCCUCUGCAGAUGGUCCACUCAACACUGUCACUCUGAUGAUGUGUUGUCAUGCAGGGUGAGCACCAAGAUUGCCAUUUUGCAUUUGAGGUUCAGAAUUCAGGCCCGGCCUCUGGCCUUUUACUUGGUGUUGUAAAACUUGGGGCCUGCCCCGCUGGUUAUAUCUAUAAAGAUUCAGGUGGGGAAGUUCUUUGUGAGACCAUCCUAACAGCAACACAGGUAUUUCCUGUGCACUUUAUCUUCACUUUUGCGCACACAUGAACAACUUCACGGUUGGUCAUCCUCAAAUUACCUCAGGGUAAGCACGCUUAUUAUGGAAAUUCUUUGGAGAUGAGCUUCCAGGAAAGAAAAAUUAUGCAUUUUGUUUAUACAAGUAGUCUAUCAUUCCUAUUAAGCAAUGAUAUUACAAUACCCCCCCCCCCCCACCCACACACACACACAAGGAUCUGACGUCCUCGGCGACCCAGCGGGAACAUUCCCUCUUGGCACACGUUUGUACGUGCAGUGUCGACAGAUGUGCCAUGACUUGUGGUAUGGCGUGCCACACGCGCCAUACACCUCAUGUGCACACACAUGACCUGCACACGUCUGUUUAACCGUGAGGGUCAUCUUUGAUACCAUUCUGUAACGCUUUAGCCAUAGUCAUCGGUUCUAGAUCAUCAUGCCUGGCUACCACCUAGGAUCUAAAUUGGACCCAUAUACCAACAUUGGUCUUUCCUGCACACCUUUUCCUCAUUCGUGUACAAUUACAAGCAAUUUCUGACCACGCUUAACAUGGAGGUUCUUAGGAGGCAAGCCACCGGAAAAGAUGGUGCACCUUACUUGUAUGAGUAGUCUAUCAUUCUAUUAAGCCGGGAUGCCACAUAUCUUGACUUGCAUAUUGGUGUUCCAGACAUGAAUGAGAUUGUCUUUGCAUAUUGGCCUUCUUCAGGCGGAUCUAGGGAAUGUCAACAAACUGAACCCAGACCACAUGUGGGUAAGACCUAGCUCGUACCUCAAAACCUAGUGGAGGAAGAGCCGCCAGCGGCGGUAGGGGGAAUGGGGCGGCGACAGGUGAAGAGGCAUGGGUGGGUGUCGACGGUAGGUCUAGGGCACAUGUGUGUGGGUCCUUUGGGUGCAGGUUGGUAUGUCAGGGAAGAGGGGUUGGAUGAGUCAAAUAAAAAAAAAUCAAGAAUACGCACGAGUGUGUGUAUCAUCUAUUAAAGAGAGAAUGGGCUAGAAAGCCAUUUCAAACUCCACACAAGGAUUACCAACGUGUCAAGGACGCGCUCACCAACAUGGUGUUGGUAUGAAGUAUUACAUAACAAGAUGCCCACUCAACGCAUCUAGAAAGGAUACACACAGAUUGUCCCUGAGGAGGCCGACAGAUGCCCAAGCAGUCCCCUCAUUUUUCAUGUCGGAGAUCGUCUUCAUGGCCGAGGGGGUUGCACCAUCGAGUACCGCAACAUUGCAGUGUUUCUAGAUCUCUCAGAAAACCAUUGUUACGAUGGGUCUGAUAUUGCAUCAUUCUGUCUGAGGUGCAACUUUGGAAGUACACCAAUUGAGUAAGUUGUCAUUAGUCGUAGGUUUCCAAUCGGACUUGCCCGAAGCGGAUAGGGUAGCAUACUAGCAUGCCAUACCUGGUCAUGACACAUGUGAUGAGUAAGUGAUUGAUGGUCUCUUGUUCCUGAUCGUAUAUUGGGCACAAAGCUUGGUGUGGUAGUCCACAACGCGCAAAUCUGUCGGAGGUCCAAUAGCGAUUUCGCGUGGCUAACCAGGUUCGUGGGCAGAAGUGGUACCCGUCAUGGAAUUCACAUGAAAAGUCACGUGCUCGGCUACCUGCGGAAUUCACAAUGAAGUCAGCUGUGGAAGACUUGACCUUCAUUUCCCGCAAAAAAAAAAAAGAAGAAGAAGACUUGACCUUCAUCAAGCCCUUCCACAAUGGUGAGUCAGUAGGCUUCACAUCAACUUGCGAUAUCGUUUUCGAAUGCAGGUAUUUGUUGUGCAAUAAUUUGUGCCAAACACCUUCCUCAUUGAGUAUCUUAUGAAGUCAUUUGUUGAGUAAACACUUGUUUCUGAUUUCAAGGUUUUUAAUGCCUAAGCCUGCAUUGACAUUCAACAAGUAGAUGGUUCAUUAUCUUGUGAUACUAUGAUGUGAUUGCUUUCCAGACUGUUUUUAUUUGACAAUUACACGGGAAAAAAUGUUGAUUUACUACUACUCUGUUUUCAAAUCCCUGCAUUAGUAGUUUUUACAUGCAUUAUUCGAUCGUGUGCAAACAUUGCACUGCUGCUUUGACUUGUAAAUUUCACUUGUCAAAAUUUCAGGCAUAUGUUUUGAUUCACCGUGAAAACAGAGUGUACAACAAAAACACAUCAAACCUACAAUUUGUUCACUACGGUCAGCUAAAUUCUUCUUGCUAUUUGCUCCAACAAGUUGCUAUAAUCCUGCUGACUCUGUUUACAUUUGGAAUAUCUAAUUUUUUAGAAAUUCUGAUUUUAUGGUUUCAUUUGGAGCGACAACCAUAUGAUACCAGGGGCUAUGAUUGGAUGCACAACCACAUUGGUCCUCCACACAGUACAGAAUCAAAAGUGUUUCUAAGUUUCACCAAAUCUACUCCUCCAGGUUAAGUCGCUGACAACACAAAACGGAAAUUAACCAAAAUUAUAGUGUCAAUUUUGCUGCUAGUCGCUCCAUUACAUUACAGUCCAUGGGGGUGUUGUAACCUCAGACUCGGCUAUCAAGGGUCUCUCCAGGCAAACGGCCAGCUACCAAAACGGUGAACCAUGGAUGAUAGAUCAGCGCCUCUUCUUGCCAGACUUUGAGCCGGCAGAUUUCGAUGGGCUCGCGACCAGGUAGAUGAACCCCAGAACGAAGGAAACAACGGACACCAGUGCUCCAUACUUCGCAACAAGUUUCUGCACAUGGACAGUCUCUUAGAAUCUCACACCAGGGAAUAUCAUGGCAGCUUAUUUCGAUGGAGAAGAAAUGAAAUGAAAUUACCUUAGCCUGAACAGCACAUGAGAGCAAAUCCAGAGAUAUCCAGAGCAAGGGUAUCAACCCCACAAAAUAGCAUGGAAAAAAUUAGAAUCACCAAGGAGAUAUUACCAGAAUGAAAAUGCACAUGAUCACUUACCCAUUCAAACUUCUUCACUGGAGGUCUUUCAGCAAGAAUGUCCAGGGGGAGGAUGGGAGUUGAGUAGGCCUCCU